Molecule: long non-coding RNA, 630 nt
Filed under: Gallus gallus (chicken)
Lineage: Eukaryota; Metazoa; Chordata; Aves; Galliformes; Phasianidae
Source: RNAcentral
GGGGAGCGCCGGGGCGGGGGCUCGGGGACUUCGGGCCGAACUUGGCGGCGCGAUGGGGAACGAGCGCUGGAAAACCAUGGGAGGAGCCUCGCAACUUGAGGACGGGCAGCAGGAGAAACCGCAGGCGGCUUUCUGGCAGCGCUGCGAUUCCCUGUGACAGCUGCACCGGGGUCAGGGGAAAAUCACCGCCCGCGUCCCGCAGGUGUAAUGAGAAGGGGCCGGAGCUGAUGGCUGGAUGGCAGCUCACACCCUCCGUGCUGAUGGCUUUGCAAGAACGGGCACUCGCUGCACCCUGAGCAGCUCCUGCAGGCUGAGCCCGGGAGCGACCGCUCCUCCAUUGGGUCCCAGUGGGAUAGGAUCACCCCGGAGCAGGGAGAAGCCCCGCUGGGAGCGACCCCCAUUGCUGCUCAGAGUGGCUCCGGCCUCCUCACACCGCCGGGAACACCCCGUGCUCCCCUCUCUCCCUUUGCUUUCCCCUCCGUCCCCACUGCAGGGCACGGCGUGGGGGUUCUCCCUUUCCCUCCCUGCAUUCCCACACUCCCAGGGCAUUGGGGAGCCCACGUGCACCUCCUGGGGCUGGGGCUGCUCCCACCGAGCGUUAUGCCUUCAAUAAAACAUACACGCAGCCGC